Molecule: long non-coding RNA, 586 nt
Filed under: Solanum lycopersicum (tomato)
Lineage: Eukaryota; Viridiplantae; Streptophyta; Magnoliopsida; Solanales; Solanaceae
Description: long non-coding RNA (SLYC_LNC000847)
Source: RNAcentral
UUCACAUUUCCCCAAUAUGUUUCCUUUUGUGGAUGCUCCAGUGGAUCACCAUAAACCUCACUUGUACUAGUAAGCAAGAACUUCGCACCAAUUCUCUUGGCAAGUCCCAACAUGUUAAGAGUACCCAUCACAUUUGUCUUGUAAUCACAAUUAAGGAUCUCAAGUACAUCCAAAUUAAAAAAGAUUAUAAAACAGCACUUAAACAUGUCAGAAGUUCCUUCAUAAUCAAACUCCUAUGCACUGACAAUGCGAAGAAUAAACAAUCUAACUACAUAAUAGUCAAUUACAAGUAACUUCCUAUAACAAUCAUGGAUUGAUAACUCGCAAAACAUGUAAAACAUCAUACUACAACCUGUAAAUCCAUGCACGCCCACAUCGCAAAGAAAAAAAACAUGCUUUUAUACAUAAAGAAUAACGGAAAACAAUCCAAAUACUAAUGUAGACAAAGGAUAUAAUAGUUUUGACGGGAUUAUACUUAUAAUGAACAGGCGAAGCAGGGCAAGCCAAAUGAUAGAUCUGAUCCACUUCUAACAAAAUAGGUUCAACAACAUCAUGCCUAAUAAGCUCAAAUCUAUGAUUCCCAAAA